UCAUUGCACCCUUAAAUCCUGAUUGUCUCUUUUUUUCCCUCAUUUUUUCUUCUUCUUUCUUAACCACAAAGCAUGCCUUAAUUUUCUCUUUGCAUGCACCAUCCAAGCUCUGUGAGCUGACAGCCAUAUCCCCAAUGCUGAUUGCCAAUCCCUGGGCAAUGGCCGUCGAGCCUUGAGCACCAAUAAUUGCUGCUACUGACUUCUGCUUAUGAAGGGCUAACUGCCGUCUACUGUGUCUUGAGUGUUGAUAGUCAAUCCGAAGAGCUGACCUUUCAAUUCCUGAGCAUCGAGUAUGGAUCCUAAGUACCGGCCACUGCCAUCAUUAAUUUUAGUCCUGGGUUGGGCAUAUCAUGGACCGUCGCUACCAUUGAUCUCCACCCUAAUAUGCAUUCCUCUAUGCC
This 401-nucleotide long non-coding RNA is filed under the name Phoenix dactylifera (date palm). RNAcentral describes it as "long non-coding RNA (PDAC_LNC001793)". The record is from RNAcentral. Lineage: Eukaryota; Viridiplantae; Streptophyta; Magnoliopsida; Arecales; Arecaceae.